Molecule: unclassified non-coding RNA, 536 nt
Filed under: Hevea brasiliensis (rubber tree)
Lineage: Eukaryota; Viridiplantae; Streptophyta; Magnoliopsida; Malpighiales; Euphorbiaceae
Source: RNAcentral
AAUUUGAAGAGAAAGACCAAGAAAAAUAGGUUAAACGUUAUUAGAUGGACAAUUGGCAUAGUUGAAUAUAAGAGGAUAUUUUCUUUCUUUUCAAGUUUAGCUCGUGUUUUUGAUUCCAGAGCGUUAUAUAAGGAGCAGAGACUGAGGCAAGGAGACCUAGUUAUUUGAGAUUUUGAUAGGCACCAAUUCAUAUACAAUUUCGUGAUAUGAGAAUGACAGUAAGUACGUACCUAGUGUUAAAUAUGAAAUGACGAUCAGAAUAAUGACAGGAGUCAAAUGGAGUUAGCUACCAAGGUUUGCAAUCGUUUUAAAUUAUGAGCUAGAGGAAGUACUAUUUAUGGAUGAAUUUCAAUAGAUGAAAUUGUUACUAAUGGGAAAAGUUGAGGCUAAAAUUUGGAAAGCUAUAGGCAGUAUAUGUGAGUAUAUUAAGGAGAAUGAACACAUAAAGUAUUUUGUUUAGAAUUACGGCAUGGCACACAUUUCCCACAGCAGUGUUAGUUCAGAUGAAACUCAUAGUUUCAGGGGCUCCUAUCCAU